AGAACGAACGCUGGCGGCAUGCCUAAUACAUGCAAGUCGAACGAACUCUUCGGAGUUAGUGGCGCACGGGUGCGUAACGCGUGGGAAUCUGCCCCUUGGUUCGGAAUAACAGCUGGAAACGACUGCUAAUACCGGAUGAUGACGAAAGUCCAAAGAUUUAUCGCCAAGGGAUGAGCCCGCGUAGGAUUAGCUAGUUGGUGAGGUAAAGGCUCACCAAGGCAACGAUCCUUAGCUGGUCUGAGAGGAUGAUCAGCCACACUGGGACUGAGACACGGCCCAGACUCCUACGGAGCAGCAGUAGGGAAUAUUGGACAAUGGCGAAAGCUGAUCCAGCAAUGCCGCGUGAGUGAUGAAGG
This 356-nucleotide ribosomal RNA is filed under the name uncultured soil bacterium. RNAcentral's name for it is "bacterial SSU rRNA". It matches the Rfam family "Bacterial small subunit ribosomal RNA", at positions 26 to 414 of the family's 1533-position model. The record is from RNAcentral.